This 254-nucleotide ribosomal RNA is filed under the name uncultured bacterium. RNAcentral describes it as "partial 16S ribosomal RNA". It matches the Rfam family "Bacterial small subunit ribosomal RNA", at positions 524 to 776 of the family's 1533-position model. The record is from RNAcentral.
CACGUAGGGUGCGAGCGUUGUCCGGAAUUAUUGGGCGUAAAGAGCUCGUAGGCGGUGUGUCGCGUCGGCCGUGAAAACCUGGGGCUUAACUCUGGGCGUGCGGUCGAUACGGGCAUCACUGGAGUUCGGCAGGGGAGACUGGAAUUCCUGGUGUAGCGGUGAAAUGCGCAGAUAUCAGGAGGAACACCGAUGGCGAAGGCAGCUCGCUGGGACGGUACUGACGCUGAGGCGCGAAAGCGUGGGGAGCAAACAGG